AAUUAGAAAGUGAAUUUAUUACAUUUAGUUUCGACCUAACCUUUGACUUUCUUUAGUCUCUAAUUA
Molecule: transfer RNA, 66 nt
Filed under: Quadrella coronata
Lineage: Eukaryota; Metazoa; Arthropoda; Malacostraca; Decapoda; Trapeziidae
Description: tRNA-Arg
Source: RNAcentral